CGCACAUUGCGCCCUUUGGUAUUCCGAAGGGCAUGCCCGUUCGAGCGUCAUUUCACCAAUCAAGCCUGGCUUGGUGUUGGGCCACGGGGAGACCCGGGCCCCAAAGUUCGCCGGCCGGUCGUCUCGGAUCUCAGCGUUGUGGCAUCAAAACCCGCAGGGAGAUGGGGCGGACGCGCCGUGACAAAAGCACUUUUAUAAAAGGUUGACCUCGGAUCGGGUAGGGAUACCCGCUGAACUUAA
This 240-nucleotide unclassified non-coding RNA is filed under the name Capnodiales sp. RNAcentral describes it as "partial contains 5.8S ribosomal RNA, internal transcribed spacer 2, and large subunit ribosomal RNA". Lineage: Eukaryota; Fungi; Ascomycota; Dothideomycetes; Capnodiales. The record is from RNAcentral.